AGAGCCGCGCUAGGCUGUAAGACCUGAGCCGGGCGGAGAAGCAAAGGAGAGGGAAGCUGGAAGCACCUUUGGCCCGGGACAGAAAUCUGGAGAGCUUGGCUACCUCCAUCCUCCUCAGGCCGGAGCAGGCUUCCUGAGAGAGUCCAGGUCGUAGGAGUUUUACGACUUAGAAAAGCGGGCUGCAGAUUCCUUCCUGGGUGUUUGGUUCAAGCCUUGGCUCCAGCCUCACUCUCAGUCUUCCCGGGAGUUCGUGGGAUUUGGACCUUAGAUUAUUAGUAUUAUUUUGAGGGCCUCCUGUGUGUAAGCACUGGUUGUGCGCAGAUGGCUGUGCAGAGGGCCAUGAGGUAGAGGCUGGGGAAAUGAGGGCUUGGAGGUGCUUGAGGUAUGGUCUUUACCUACGUGAAAUGUUGGAGGUUGAGAUGAAAACUCUUGCUUUGAAUUCUUCAUGGAGGACUACAUCAUUUCAAUCCUGAAUCUGGCUCAAUUCUAUUAUUCACUUAUUACUGUAUUAAAAACGUUUAAUUGGCCAGGCACAGUGGUUCACGCCUGUAAUCCCAGCACUUUGGGAGGCCAAGGCAGGCGGAUCACUUGAGGUCAGGAGUUCGACACCAGCCUGGCCAACAUGGCAAAACCCCGCCUCUACUAAAAAUACAAAAAUUAGCCAGGCGUGGUGGCACGCACCUGUAAUCACAGCUACUUAGGAGGCUGAGGUGGCAGAAUUGUUUGAACCCAGGAGGUGGAGGUUGCAGUGAGCCGAGAUCACACCACUGCACUCAAGCCUUGGCAUCAGAGUGAGACUCUGUCUCAGUAAAAAAAAAAUAAAUAAAUAAAAAUGUUUAAUUAACCAUGA
This 850-nucleotide long non-coding RNA is filed under the name Homo sapiens (human). Its description in RNAcentral is "HSALNT0389470". The record is from RNAcentral. Lineage: Eukaryota; Metazoa; Chordata; Mammalia; Primates; Hominidae.